UGACUCUGGUCAUAAGCGCUGGAAACGGCCUCUAAUACUGGAUAUGUGACAUGACCGCAUGGUCUGCUUCUGGAAAGAAUUUCGGUUGGGGAUGGGCUCGCGGCCUAUCAUCUUGUUGGUGAGGUAUGGCUCACCAAGGCGUCCACUGGUAGCCCGCCUGACAGGGUGACCGGCCACACUGGGACUGAGACACGGUCCACACUCCUACGGGAGGCAACACUGGGGAAUAUUGCACAAUGGGCGCAAGCCUGAUGCAGCAACGCCGCGUGAGGGACGACGGCCUUCGGGUUGUAAACCUCUUUUAUAGGAAAAGCGAAAGUGACGGUACCUGCAAAUAAGCGCCAGCUAACUACGUGCCAACAGCCUCGGUAAUACUUACGGCGCAAGCGUUAUCCGGAAUUAUUGGGCGUAAAGAGCUCGUAUGCUGUUUGU
Molecule: ribosomal RNA, 432 nt
Filed under: bacterium Urfm83
Lineage: Bacteria
Description: bacterial SSU rRNA
Rfam family: Bacterial small subunit ribosomal RNA
Source: RNAcentral